GUUCGAAAGAACACUCACAAGAUUAAUAACNNNNNNNNNNNNNNCGAUGAAGGACGUUACUAACGACGAUAUGCUUUGGGGAGCUGUAAGUAAGCUUUGAUCCAGAGAUUUCCGAAUGGGGAAACCCAGCAUGAGUUAUGUCAUGUUAUCGAUAUGUGAAUACAUAGCAUAUCAGAAGGCACACCCGGAGAACUGAAACAUCUUAGUACCCGGAGGAAGAGAAAGAAAAUUCGAUUCCCUUAGUAGCGGCGAGCGAAACGGGAAGAGCCCAAACCAACAAGCUUGCUUGUUGGGGUUGUAGGACACUCUAUACGGAGUUACAAAGGACGACAUUAGACGAAUCAUCUGGAAAGAUGAAUCAAAGAAGGUAAUAAUCCUGUAGUCGAAAAUGUUGUCUCUCUUGAGUGGAUCCUGAGUACGACGGAGCACGUGAAAUUCCGUCGGAAUCUGGGAGGACCAUCUCCUAAGGCUAAAUACUCUCUAGUGACCGAUAGUGAACCAGUACCGUGAGGGAAAGGUGAAAAGCACCCCGGAAGGGGAGUGAAAUAGAACCUGAAACCGUGUGCUUACAAGUAGUCAGAGCCCGUUAAUGGGUGAUGGCGUGCCUUUUGUAGAAUGAACCGGCGAGUUACGAUUUGAUGCAAGGUUAAGCAGUAAAUGUGGAGCCGUAGCGAAAGCGAGUCUGAAUAGGGCGUUUAGUAUUUGGUCGUAGACCCGAAACCAGGUGAUCUACCCUUGGUCAGGUUGAAGUUCAGGUAACACUGAAUGGAGGACCGAACCGACUUACGUUGAAAAGUGAGCGGAUGAACUGAGGGUAGCGGAGAAAUUCCAAUCGAACCUGGAGAUAGCUGGUUCUCUCCGAAAUAGCUUUAGGGCUAGCCUCAAGUGAUGAUUAUUGGAGGUAGAGCACUGUUUGGACGAGGGGCCCCUCUCGGGUUACCGAAUUCAGACAAACUCCGAAUGCCAAUUAAUUUAACUUGGGAGUCAGAACAUGGGUGAUAAGGUCCGUGUUCGAAAGGGAAACAGCCCAGACCACCAGCUAAGGUCCCAAAAUAUAUGUUAAGUGGAAAAGGAUGUGGCGUUGCCCAGACAACUAGGAUGUUGGCUUAGAAGCAGCCAUCAUUUAAAGAGUGCGUAAUAGCUCACUAGUCGAGUGACACUGCGCCGAAAAUGUACCGGGGCUAAACAUAUUACCGAAGCUGUGGAUUGUCCUUUGGACAAUGGUAGGAGAGCGUUCUAAGGGCGUUGAAGCAUGAUCGUAAGGACAUGUGGAGCGCUUAGAAGUGAGAAUGCCGGUGUGAGUAGCGAAAGACGGGUGAGAAUCCCGUCCACCGAUUGACUAAGGUUUCCAGAGGAAGGCUCGUCCGCUCUGGGUUAGUCGGGUCCUAAGCUGAGGCCGACAGGCGUAGGCGAUGGAUAACAGGUUGAUAUUCCUGUACCACCUAUAAUCGUUUUAAUCGAUGGGGGGACGCAGUAGGAUAGGCGAAGCGUGCGAUUGGAUUGCACGUCUAAGCAGUAAGGCUGAGUAUUAGGCAAAUCCGGUACUCAUUAAGGCUGAGCUGUGAUGGGGAGAAGACAUUGUGUCUUCGAGUCGUUGAUUUCACACUGCCGAGAAAAGCCUCUAGAUAGAAAAUAGGUGCCCGUACCGCAAACCGACACAGGUAGUCAAGAUGAGAAUUCUAAGGUGAGCGAGCGAACUCUCGUUAAGGAACUCGGCAAAAUGACCCCGUAACUUCGGGAGAAGGGGUGCUCUUUAGGGUUAACGCCCAGAAGAGCCGCAGUGAAUAGGCCCAAGCGACUGUUUAUCAAAAACACAGGUCUCUGCUAAACCGUAAGGUGAUGUAUAGGGGCUGACGCCUGCCCGGUGCUGGAAGGUUAAGAGGAGUGGUUAGCUUCUGCGAAGCUACGAAUCGAAGCCCCAGUAAACGGCGGCCGUAACUAUAACGGUCCUAAGGUAGCGAAAUUCCUUGUCGGGUAAGUUCCGACCCGCACGAAAGGCGUAACGAUUUGGGCACUGUCUCAACGAGAGACUCGGUGAAAUCAUAGUACCUGUGAAGAUGCAGGUUACCCGCGACAGGACGGAAAGACCCCGUGGAGCUUUACUGUAGCCUGAUAUUGAAAUUCGGCACAGCUUGUACAGGAUAGGUAGGAGCCUUUGAAACGUGAGCGCUAGCUUACGUGGAGGCGCUGGUGGGAUACUACCCUAGCUGUGUUGGCUUUCUAACCCGCACCACUUAUCGUGGUGGGAGACAGUGUCAGGCGGGCAGUUUGACUGGGGCGGUCGCCUCCUAAAAGGUAACGGAGGCGCUCAAAGGUUCCCUCAGAAUGGUUGGAAAUCAUUCAUAGAGUGUAAAGGCAUAAGGGAGCUUGACUGCGAGACCUACAAGUCGAGCAGGGUCGAAAGACGGACUUAGUGAUCCGGUGGUUCCGCAUGGAAGGGCCAUCGCUCAACGGAUAAAAGCUACCCCGGGGAUAACAGGCUUAUCUCCCCCAAGAGUUCACAUCGACGGGGAGGUUUGGCACCUCGAUGUCGGCUCAUCGCAUCCUGGGGCUGUAGUCGGUCCCAAGGGUUGGGCUGUUCGCCCAUUAAAGCGGUACGCGAGCUGGGUUCAGAACGUCGUGAGACAGUUCGGUCCCUAUCCGUCGUGGGCGUAGGAAAUUUGAGAGGAGCUGUCCUUAGUACGAGAGGACCGGGAUGGACAUACCUCUGGUGUACCAGUUGUCGUGCCAACGGCAUAGCUGGGUAGCUAUGUGUGGACGGGAUAAGUGCUGAAAGCAUCUAAGCAUGAAGCCCCCCUCAAGAUGAGAUUUCCCAACUUCGGUUAUAAGAUCCCUCAAAGAUGAUGAGGUUAAUAGGUUCGAGGUGGAAGCAUGGUGACAUGUGGAGCUGACGAAUACUAAUCGAUCGAAGACUUAAUCAA
Molecule: ribosomal RNA, 2921 nt
Filed under: Staphylococcus aureus
Lineage: Bacteria; Bacillati; Bacillota; Bacilli; Caryophanales; Staphylococcaceae
Description: bacterial LSU rRNA
Rfam family: Bacterial large subunit ribosomal RNA
Source: RNAcentral